This 326-nucleotide unclassified non-coding RNA is filed under the name soil metagenome. RNAcentral's name for it is "partial contains 5.8S ribosomal RNA, internal transcribed spacer 2, and large subunit ribosomal RNA". The stretch from base 1 to 120 matches the Rfam family "5.8S ribosomal RNA", at positions 35 to 154 of the family's 154-position model. The record is from RNAcentral.
GAUGAAGAACGCAGCGAAAUGCGAUAAGUAGUGUGAAUUGCAGAAUUUAGUGAAUCAUCGAAUCUUUGAACGCACAUUGCGCCCUAUAGUAUUCUGUAGGGCAUGCCUGUUCGAGCGUUAUUGAGACCUCAAGCUCUGCUUGGAAAUGGGCGCUUGUCUUGCCUUGCAGACUCGCCUUAAAACCAUUGGCAGCUGAUUUACAAUGUUUGGUGCACAGUACAUGAGCCCAAGUGUUGCAAUGAGUGGCCCAAAAGUAUACAAUAGAAGCUUAACCUCGGAUCAGGUAGGGAUACCCUCUGAACUUAAGCAUAUCAAUAAGCGGAGGA